GCUGUCGCAGGGAGCUGAGGGUCUGGGCUGCGGAUUCAAAGUCAGGAGCCUGGAGCCUGGACGGGGGCGCACACGCGCACACCAGGCUGCCUGAUGCUGUGAUCCCCUCCCCUGCGUGGCCCCCCCGCCGCUGGCAGAGCUUGCCUCUCCCUCCGCCCCAGCUGUUGUGGGCCGUGGCCUCGGCCGUGGCAGCCUUGCCCAGCACAGCCGGGGAGGAAUUUCCCACAGGUGGGCCGGUGAGCUCAGCUUUCUUACCUGUUGUUGGGGAGUCGGGGAGGGGAAUUUCCAGCUUCUACCCUGCUCUCCUCCCUGAGCGAGGCCCUCUGCCUGAAACUUUGUACAUUAACUGGUGGAUGGUUCAUUUCAUCUCAAGGUUACGGUGUGAAAGGUACAAAAACGACACAGUGUAGCCUCCC
RNAcentral lists this long non-coding RNA (416 nucleotides) under Ursus maritimus (polar bear). RNAcentral describes it as "lncRNA (ENSUMAG00000002435.1)". The record is from RNAcentral. Lineage: Eukaryota; Metazoa; Chordata; Mammalia; Carnivora; Ursidae.